Molecule: ribosomal RNA, 517 nt
Filed under: uncultured Glomeraceae
Lineage: Eukaryota; Fungi; Glomeromycota; Glomeromycetes; Glomerales; Glomeraceae
Description: SSU rRNA
Rfam family: Eukaryotic small subunit ribosomal RNA
Source: RNAcentral
AGCAGCCGCGGUAAUUCCAGCUCCAAUAGCGUAUAUUAAAGUUGCUGCAGUUAAAAAGCUCGUAGUUGAAUUUCGGGACCAAUAUGUCGGUCGUGCUUCGGUACGUACUGUCAUAAUUGGUUUCUCCCUUCUGAAGAACCUUGAUGUCAUUAAUUUGGUGUCUUGGGGAAUCAGGACUGUUACUUUGAAAAAAUUAGAGUGUUUAAAGCAGGCUCGCGCUUGAAUACAUUAGCAUGGAAUAAUGAAAUAGGACGUUUGAUUCUAUUUUGUUGGUUUCUAGGAUCGACGUAAUGAUUAAUAGGGAUAGUUGGGGGCAUUAGUAUUCAAUUGUCAGAGGUGAAAUUCUUGGAUUUAUUGAAGACUAACUACUGCGAAAGCAUUUGCCAAGGAUGUUUUCAUUAAUCAAGAACGAGAGUUAGGGGAUCGAAGACGAUCAGAUACCGUCGUAGUCUUAACCAUAAACUAUGCCGACUAGGGAUCGGAUGAUGUUAAUUUUUAAUGACUCAUUCGGCUACCG